GCUGCGAAGCGGAUGUCGUUCCAGUAUGCGGUGUCUUGCAGAGCCCAACGGGGGUUACGUGGGAACCACAAACUGGAUAGCCUGAAAGAGCGAAAGAAAACACG
Molecule: small RNA, 104 nt
Filed under: bovine gut metagenome
Description: drum RNA
Rfam family: drum RNA
About the family: Firmicutes, Bacteroidetes (1 example), Proteobacteria (2 examples), Spirochaetes (2 examples).
Source: RNAcentral